GAAAUAAGAAGACUUCAAAAAAAAGCUGCUAACUUUUUUAUUUAAUGGUUAAAAUCCAUUUUUAUUUCU
Molecule: transfer RNA, 69 nt
Filed under: Thienemanniella tusimufegea
Lineage: Eukaryota; Metazoa; Arthropoda; Insecta; Diptera; Chironomidae
Description: tRNA-Ser
Source: RNAcentral